UACCAGCACCCCGAGUGGUCGGGACGAUUAUUGGGCCUAAAGCAUCCGUAGCCGGUCCUACAAGUCUUCCGUUAAAUCCACCUGCUUAACAGAUGGGCUGCGGAAGAUACUAUAGGGCUAGGAGGCGGGAGAGGCAAGCGGUACUCAGUGGGUAGGGGUAAAAUCCUCUGAUCCAUUGAAGACCACCAGUGGCGAAGGCGACUUUCUGGCCUGUUCUUGACGCUGAGGCGCGAAAGCUAGGGGAGCAAACGGG
This 253-nucleotide ribosomal RNA is filed under the name uncultured bacterium. RNAcentral describes it as "partial 16S ribosomal RNA". It matches the Rfam family "Archaeal small subunit ribosomal RNA", at positions 474 to 727 of the family's 1478-position model. The record is from RNAcentral.